CUGACACGUAGGUGAAGUGAUUUACUCAUGGAGCUGAAGUCAGUCGAAGAUACCAGCUGGCUGCAACUGUUUAUUAAAAACACAGCACUGUGCAAACACGAAAGUGGACGUAUACGGUGUGACGCCUGCCCGGUGCCGGAAGGUUAAUUGAUGGGGUCAGCGCAAGCGAAGCUCCUGAUCGAAGCCCCGGUAAACGGCGGCCGUAACUAUAACGGUCCUAAGGUAGCGAAAUUCCUUGUCGGGUAAGUUCCGACCUGCACGAAUGGCGUAAUGAUGGCCAGGCUGUCUCCACCCGAGACUCAGUGAAAUUGAACUCGCUGUGAAGAUGCAGUGUACCCGCGGCAAGACGGAAAGACCCCGUGAACCUUUACUAUAGCUUGACACUGAACAUUGAGCCUUGAUGUGUAGGAUAGGUGGGAGGCUUUGAAGUGUGGACGCCAGUCUGCAUGGAGCCGACCUUGAAAUACCACCCUUUAAUGUUUGAUGUUCUAACGUGGACCCGUGAUCCGGGUUGCGGACAGUGUCUGGUGGGUAGUUUGACUGGGGCGGUCUCCUCCUAAAGAGUAACGGAGGAGCACGAAGGUUGGCUAAUCCUGGUCGGACAUCAGGAGGUUAGUGCAAUGGCAUAAGCCAGCUUGACUGCGAGCGUGACGGCGCGAGCAGGUGCGAAAGCAGGUCAUAGUGAUCCGGUGGUUCUGAAUGGAAGGGCCAUCGCUCAACGGAUAAAAGGUACUCCGGGGAUAACAGGCUGAUACCGCCCAAGAGUUCAUAUCGACGGCGGUGUUUGGCACCUCGAUGUCGGCUCAUCACAUCCUGGGGCUGAAGUAGGUCCCAAGGGUAUGGCUGUUCGCCAUUUAAAGUGGUACGCGAGCUGGGUUUAGAACGUCGUGAGACAGUUCGGUCCCUAUCUGCCGUGGGCGCUGGAGAACUGAGGGGGGCUGCUCCUAGUACGAGAGGACCGGAGUGGACGCAUCACUGGUGUUCGGGUUGUCAUGCCAAUGGCACUGCCCGGUAGCUAAAUGCGGAAGAGAUAAGUGCUGAAAGCAUCUAAGCACGAAACUUGCCCCGAGAUGAGUUCUCCCUGAGACUUUAGGUCUCCUGAAGGAACGUUGAAGACGACGACGUUGAUAGGCCGGGUGUGUAAGCGCAGCGAUGCGUUGAGCUAACCGGUACUAAUGAACCGUGAGGCUUAACCUU
Molecule: ribosomal RNA, 1197 nt
Filed under: Salmonella enterica
Lineage: Bacteria; Pseudomonadati; Pseudomonadota; Gammaproteobacteria; Enterobacterales; Enterobacteriaceae
Description: partial 23S ribosomal RNA
Rfam family: Bacterial large subunit ribosomal RNA
Source: RNAcentral